RNAcentral lists this ribosomal RNA (1560 nucleotides) under Eleutherodactylus audanti. RNAcentral's name for it is "16S ribosomal RNA". It matches the Rfam family "Bacterial large subunit ribosomal RNA", at positions 387 to 2925 of the family's 2925-position model. Lineage: Eukaryota; Metazoa; Chordata; Amphibia; Anura; Eleutherodactylidae. The record is from RNAcentral.
CCAAAAACUUAGCCCAGUAACCCAAGCCGACACAUCCCCCAAACUAAAAUAUUUAUUUAACUAAGUAAAGACGAUUAAAAAGUUAAUUGGAGCAAUAAACACGUACCGAAAGGGAAAAGUGAAAUAUUAGUGAAACAUCUUUCAAGCACAAAAUAGUAGAGAUUUUCCCUCGUACCUUUUGCAUCAUGGUUUAGCUAGUCUUAGUCAAGCAAAAAGAAAUUUAGUUUGACCCCCCGAAACUAAGUGAGCUACCUUAAGGCAGCUUAAUGAGCAAACCCGUCUCUGUUGCAAAAGAGUGGGAAGACCUUAAGGUAGAGAUGACAUGUCUAACGAACUUAGUGAUAGCUGGUUAUUUAGGAAAAGAAUCUUAGUUCAACCUAAAGCUUUCAAAAUAUUUUAAAAUGCAAAACUAACUUUAGAGCUAUUCAAACAAGUCACAGCUUGCUUGAAACAGGAUACAGCCUCCACCCGCGGGUAAUAAUAAUUCAUCUAAAUUAAGUGGGCCUAAGAGCAGCCACCUUUUAAAAAGCGUCAAAGCCUAAUUCUAUACACAAAAUAAUUUCACAAGUCCCUUAGAACCCCUAAUCAGUACUAAAUAAUUCUAUACACUUAUAGAACCUAUUAUGCUAAAACUAGUAACAAGAAGAAGCCUUCUCUUAUAUGUAAGUGUAAAUCAAAAUAGAAAGUCUACUGAUUUUUAACAACAAUAAACCACAGUAAUAACUCACUUAGAAAAAUUUACUUUAACAGCUGUUAACCUUACACAAGAACAUAAAAAGAAAGAUUAAAAGAGAAAGAAGGAACUCGGCAAAUUUUGAUUCCGCCUGUUUACCAAAAACAUCGCCUCCUGCUAACCUAUAGGAGGUCCAGCCUGCCCGGUGACCUAGUUUAACGGCCGCGGUAUCCUAACCGUGCGAAGGUAGCGUAAUCACCUGUUUUUUAAUUGAAGACCUGUAUGAAAGGCAUCACGAGAAUCGCACUGUCUCCUUUUUCUAAUCAGUGAAACUAAUCUCCCCGUGAAAAAGCGGGGAUGCCAAUACAAGACGAGAAGACCCUCUGGAGCUUGAGACAAGGUAGUAUUAUGCCCACCUUUUUAAGCCUACUCAUUAGAGCAUUUAUGCUACAAGUCUUCGGUUGGGGCAACCGCGGAGUAAAAACUACCCUCCAAGUUGAAUGGAACUUCCUAAACAAAAAGACACAACUUUAUGUAUCAAUAAAUUGACAUUUAUGACCCAAUAUUUUGAUUAUCGAACCAAGUUACCCUAGGGAUAACAGCGCAAUCCACUUCAAGAGUUCAUAUCGACAGGUGGGCUUACGACCUCGAUGUUGGAUCAAGGUAUCCCAGUGGUGCAGCCGCUACUAAAGGUUCGUUUGUUCAACGAUUAAAACCUCACGUGAUCUGAGUUCAGACCGGAGCAAUCCAGGUCAGUUUCUAUCUGUAAAGAGCUUUUCCCCGUACGAAAGGAUAGAAAAAGCGCGGCCAAUGUAAUGUAUAUGCCGUCCAACGACUUAUGACACUUACUUAACAAGUUCCAUCUAUUAUUUUCCUAGAACAGGGUA